Molecule: ribosomal RNA, 433 nt
Filed under: uncultured bacterium
Lineage: Bacteria
Description: partial 16S ribosomal RNA
Rfam family: Bacterial small subunit ribosomal RNA
Source: RNAcentral
AGCGAACGCUGGCGGCAGGCCUAACACAUGCAAGUCGAACGAACUCUUCGGAGUUAGUGGCGGACGGGUGAGUAACACGUGGGAACGUGCCUUUUGGUUCGGAAUAACUCAGGGAAACUUGUGCUAAUACCGAAUGUGCCCUUCGGGGGAAAGAUUUAUCGCCAUUAGAGCGGCCCGCGUCUGAUUAGCUAGUUGGUGAGGUAACGGCUCACCAAGGCGACGAUCAGUAGCUGGUCUGAGAGGAUGACCAGCCACACUGGGACUGAGACACGGCCCAGACUCCUACGGGAGGCAGCAGUGGGGAAUCUUGCGCAAUGGGCGAAAGCCUGACGCAGCCAUGCCGCGUGAAUGAUGAAGGUCUUAGGAUUGUAAAAUUCUUUCACCGGGGACAAUAAUGACGGUACCCGGAGAAGAAGCCCCGGCUAACUUCGUG